CAGUAGCCGCGGUAAUACGGAGGGAGCUAGCGUUGUUCGGAAUUACUGGGCGUAAAGCGCGCGUAGGCGGUUACUCAAGUCAGAGGUGAAAGCCCGGGGCUCAACCCCGGAACUGCCUUUGAAACUAGGUGACUAGAAUCUUGGAGAGGUCAGUGGAAUUCCGAGUGUAGAGGUGAAAUUCGUAGAUAUUCGGAAGAACACCAGUGGCGAAGGCGACUGACUGGACAAGUAUUGACGCUGAGGUGCGAAAGCGUGGGGAGCAAACAGGAUUAGAGACCCGCGUAGUCCCUGUCUCUUAUAC
RNAcentral lists this ribosomal RNA (301 nucleotides) under uncultured bacterium. Its description in RNAcentral is "partial 16S ribosomal RNA". It matches the Rfam family "Bacterial small subunit ribosomal RNA", at positions 509 to 807 of the family's 1533-position model. The record is from RNAcentral.